GACGAACGCUGGCGGCGUGCCUAAUACAUGCAAGUAGAACGCUGAAGAGAGGAGCUUGCUCUUCUUGGAUGAGUUGCGAACGGGUGAGUAACGCGUAGGUAACCUGCCUUGUAGCGGGGGAUAACUAUUGGAAACGAUAGCUAAUACCGCAUAACAAUGGAUGACACAUGUCAUUUAUUUGAAAGGGGCAAUUGCUCCACUACAAGAUGGACCUGCGUUGUAUUAGCUAGUAGGUGAGGUAACGGCUCACCUAGGCGACGAUACAUAGCCGACCUGAGAGGGUGAUCGGCCACACUGGGACUGAGACACGGCCCAGACUCCUACGGGAGGCAGCAGUAGGGAAUCUUCGGCAAUGGGGGCAACCCUGACCGAGCAACGCCGCGUGAGUGAAGAAGGUUUUUCGGAUCGUAAAAGCUCUGUUGUAAAGUCAAAGAAACG
Molecule: ribosomal RNA, 438 nt
Filed under: Streptococcus sp. oral taxon C65
Lineage: Bacteria; Bacillati; Bacillota; Bacilli; Lactobacillales; Streptococcaceae
Description: bacterial SSU rRNA
Rfam family: Bacterial small subunit ribosomal RNA
Source: RNAcentral